Molecule: long non-coding RNA, 5533 nt
Organism: Herpailurus yagouaroundi (jaguarundi)
Lineage: Eukaryota; Metazoa; Chordata; Mammalia; Carnivora; Felidae
Exons: 4
Source: RefSeq, a predicted model, not a curated record
CCCCCCCCAAAUAAUCUCUUGGCAGAUAGCAGGAACUUUUCCCCUGCCUUUGUGUUUGGAUAAGGGUGGGAGCGUGCUUAGUAUUGUCUGUUACCUUAUGGUUUUUCACUUAUUCGUAACUUGCUUCCUCCCCACCCUGCUGUUGUCAGGAUAUGUUGGGGAGUCACUCUUUAGGAAGAUUACAUGUGGUCUUCUGUUGGAGUAAGAUGAAAAACAAGUGUAUUAGCACUUCACCCUUAAUGAUUUCUCCUGGAAAACAUCGAGCAUCGUUCAUACCUUCCCUUGACUACACUACCACAUGCACUACCUUCUCUGCUUGAUCUCUGAAAAUGUUUGAUUCCUGUGAGAUUUGUCAUAGAAAAAUAUAGCCAUUUUUGGUUCUAAGGUUGUCAUAAUAAAUCCAAACUCUGCCAGUAAGAGUCUGAGGAGCUUUUUGCUUUUUGCUGCUAGGUACAUUUCUCAGAAGUAGCCAGCACUAUGACUCUCCCAAGACUCUUAUGUUGUCUCCUUUUUUCAGCUUCUGUGACCUCUUCUAAUGUUCACCCACUCUCCCUAACGGUACGAAAUGCUGCCAGUAGUUGCAGUAACGACUCUUAGAAGGUGGCCUUUCUCUUUUUCCUUUCUUACCUCUCAUUUUCAAUAGUCAAGAAAGGUUAAUUUUCUCAGAAACUUCAAUUUUUACAAAAACGUUAUUCCUAUUUUAUCUCUGUAGAGAUCUGCUUGCGUGGCAAAAAAAUAAUUUUCAUUUUAGAAUUGUUCCAUUUUGAUUUUUCUCAGCUGGAGCUAGUGCAUGCACAUUUAAUGUCAGGGAAGCAGGUGGGGGGGGAGGGGGUAAAUGUAGUUUUCUCUCAGAUUAUACUAUGUUUCUCUAGCUGAAUCGAUCCAUUCAUUAUCUCAUUCACUAGGGGCAAGCAAUUGUGCCCUAUGGUAACGGCCUGAAAGAGUAGACUGUUCUAAGCAUUCUUAGGAUCAUAAUCCUCCUGAUCCUAUACAGUUUAUGGUAAUCAUCCCCAAAAGUUUAUGAAGGGUAAAAUAGACUAAAAUCUACACAUUCAUGAGCUAUGGCCACAGUACCCCCUCCCACUAGGAGGAUUGGUGGCCACAGGGACACACUGACUCCUUCAAGAACCCCAAAAUACAUGUAAAGAGAUUGGCACAUUCAGAUCUUGUACAGUUUAAUCCAUUACAGUUUACCAGUCCAGAGUUCAAAAGAUGACCACAGUUCUCAAGCUUUCAGGCUAACCUGAAUAUGCGAUAAGUGAUAGAAAUUAACCCCAUUAACCCAUGCCAAUUAGCUACAUGCUAGCAUGGUUCCACCUCCCAUUGGUUGGUGCCACAGUGACUGAAAAGUAGGGUUUUAGAUGUAUGCUGUAAAAAUCCAGGAAUUUCAGUGCUGGACAAAAGUAAUUCCUUAAUGGGGUAUUGACCUUAGGUGGGGAAACAAGUGGCCAGGAUGGCAGGACUAUAUAUAGAAUUGAGGCAAGAUAGUGUGAGGACUGGAGAAAGAAAAGGCAAACGGGACUGGAAGAGGAGACUUAGUGCAUGGUUGUGAGAGUCUGACAGCUUAGAUGUUCCAGAAAAGUUAGCCCAGAGUUAUGUUUCUGCGAAAGGGGAAGUAGAGUAACAUAGGUCUGAUCACAACAUUCCUUCACUUGAGCCCUUUGACGACUCCCAUUUAUCAGUGCAGGCUCCCCGUGACCUAGCCCAUCCUAAGUCUCCUGCCUGAUCCACUGCCUAUCCCUGGCAAUCAAAUUUCUGUGACAGCAAACUGCAUCCCAUUGGCCUAUGAGUGCAUGCGUUUUAGUAUAAUGGUUACCUGUCGUACUCGUCUGCCCAACAUCUUAUUUCUUCUCUUUUUGGGUCCUCUCAAUCUUCUCAUGAAGUACCACCCCAGCCCUGCCCACUCUAUAUGGUUCUAAUAGAGCUACAAAUCCUACAAAAGUCUUCUUGCAACCUUAACCAUGUCUGGUUAAAAUUAUAUUCUGCUUUGUAUGAGUCCCUAUUAACACAGCUCUAUCCUAGCACUGUCUGUACUAUGGCCAGGCAAUGGGUACAGUGAUUAGCUUGGAGAUAGGCCCAUGACUGAAACUAGACUGAGCAGAGGCUUUUCCAUGGGAUCUUAUUUGCUGGCCUUGAAAUGCAGGUAACCUUCUAUGGCUAUUAACUACAAUCCAGUGUGAUAUUAGCAUGGAACUCUGUGGCCAAACUCCACCCCUUCCUCCUGCAACAUAGAUUAUGUCUGUCUGCUAUGGGAGAGAAGGCAGCAUCCACACAUGAGCAGGGCCAAGAGUUCUGGGAGAGCUGAAGCCAGAUUUCCCAGUUACACUUUCCUUGUAUUUGUGUAAACUAUUUUGAGAUGCGUUUCUGUCCCUUGGAAACAGAAGAGUUCAAGUUAAUGAUCACUUGACCAAAAAUAACCUCCACAUCCCUAAUGAAAAUUCUCUCUUUGGGGACAACAUCCUGUGAAGCCUUUCCUCAAUCCCCUGGUUGAAAUUAAUUACUGCUUGUGAGCCCCAUGCUGUAGCCUUUUCAGAUUGCUAUUGCAAAAAUAGCAUAACCUGGAUGCCUUAUAAACAUGUCUCACAGUUCUGGAGGCUAAGAAGUCCAAGACCAUGGCACCAGCAAUUCGGUGUCUGCUUCCUCAUUCACAUGAAGAGGAAGGGGUAAGGACUCUCUGGGAUCUCUUUUAUAAAGGCACUAAUCCCAUUUGAGAGGUCUCCACCCUGCCACCUAACCUCUUCCCAAAGGCCCCACCUCUAAACCUAUCACAUUGGGGAUUAGGUCUCAGCAUAUGAAUUGGGGAGAGACACAUGUUCAGUCCAUAGCACCCCCCUAUUAGCAAUGUAUACCUCAAUAGUUGCACUGGUUUCAUUCUUCCUUGACUUGGAGUUUGUUUAUGUAUCUAUUUUCCUCAUUUGUAAGAUCUUUAAAAGUAGAGAGCAUACCUAAAUCAUCAUUGGACCCUCCAUAGGGCAACACAUAAUAGGCUCUUAAAUUUUUUGAAUGAUAUCUAGACUACUAUGUACCAAGCUCAAUUCUAAGAACUGGGAAUAACAGUGAAUUUUAAGAUGUGAACAUUCAUGCUUUCAUGGAAUUUGCAUCCUAGUGGGAAAACUAUCUGACGAAAAUUCAUGGGAAUUGCUGAAUUGGGAAAAACCUUGAGGAAAGGUAAACGCGACCUGGAACCAAGAGGCUCAGACAAAAGGGACCUUGCUUUUUACCACCACCAAAGAAGGCAAAAUGAGCUCUUAGGGCGUGGCAAAGGAGUGGGAAGUAUGUCAGGAUAGAGUUCAAAAUAGAACUUGAGCAUACUUUUUAAAGCUAGUCCAAUUAACCGGCACCAAAUGAAAAUGGCCAGCUAGAUGCAAUUACAGGCACUCCCCAACUUGUGCCCAUGGUAACUCACUGGCAGUUUCCUACGGAGACCAAAAAUUAUUUACUUCUUGCCAUAUACUCUUCCCUAAACAUAACAAUGCAUGUUCACAUCUCUCUAUACUUGCCAUCCUUUCACCCUGGAAUGUGUUUUUUUUCCCAUUUAUGGGACCGUUACCUAUUUUGAAGUCAGUAAUCACUGAAUUCAUGAUUGAGAAAAAACAAAAAUCAAAAAGCAGUGCUUUCCCAGUUCCUUCCAGCUGCAGAAUGUUUCUCUCUAUACUAGACAGUAAUUUAUGAUUUACCCUCUCUGCAACUGAAACAUAAUGGAAGGGAAAACAAAGAGAAAAAGAUGGCAUUUGUGAGAAAUGGUAAUCGGGCAAUUAAUUUGUGUGAGAGACUAGAACAUUUUGCUUUAGUGUUUUGUUUAUAAAGAGGGGAGUGUACUCCCAAGUUUCAAAUAAAUAUUAACUUCGGGACUACAACUUUUGGGGGGGGAAGGGCUAAGGUUUGUACCCAUAUAUAAGUAUGCCCCAAGGUCAGUCCUUACACAAAACUUUGAUGGUUGGAGCACAUGCACUAAAGAUGACUUAUGUGGGGAAAGGACAGUGGAGGGGAAGGACAGGUCUGGGAGAGAAGCUGGUCCCACAGGUAGUGACAGUGGAAAGUUACUCAGGCAAUGGGAACAACCGGGGUGUCUUGUCUGGGGGCUGUUGGAGCCAAGUUGGAAAACAAUUGUUUCUGACACAUCAAAGCCUGGGAAUUUUUCUCAACUGGAUCUAUGGUGGUAAAUAUUUGCUACCACCACCUGUUUUCAAAGUUUUCUCUGCUCAUUUUUCCCCCUCAACUGUAAAAAAGAUUUGAUAUGUCUACAUACAUAGGUAUGAAAGCUUACAGCUUGCCAAAUUUAUUAAAUCCUCACUUGAGUGGCUUGUAUAUAAAACCACUGUUAACCUGUACCUAACACUGUCCUAGAAAUAUUAGAUGUAUUCCUCCUUCCCCUCACAAUACCUCUACGAGGUAAACACUGUUGUCAGGCCUUAUUUUCCAACAAGGAAACCAAGGCACAAAGGUUUAGGUAGCCAGUGCCUGGUCACACACAAGAUGAUGGUGGAGCCAUGUUGUAGGGAUCCUUAAGCCUGUGCCCUGCUGCCUCUCCCAGCCUAAUGUGUGGGAAAGUGUUCCAGAUGGGCCUCAGGACCACACUCCACAUACAUAUCCGUAGGAAGAGGCUGGGAAUUGUGACUCAGAAUUCUAGCUUACUCCCCUGCCUGUGGUCUCGAUGGCUGGUAAAAAAAAUAACCACAGUGCUUGCAAGUAGAAUAGAAAUGCGCACAUUUCACAAGAAAAAUAGACCAAGGUGAUCACAUCCUACUUUGCCUCCUUCAGGGCUGUGAGCAGAAAAAGCUGAUGUCUUGACGAAUGGGUUGCUCAAUGCUGUGAAGAAUCAAUAAUUGUUAUAAGCAUCAGGAAGACAUGACUGAAAAGAACAAUAAGAAAUGUAAUCUCAAGAGACGAAAUAUGAUUGAAGAAGAAAUCAGUUUUCCUGUCUCAUUGGACAUGAUUGUGUUUAAAGGGGAAUCUUCAUGAUCACAGCAGGAAACUUCCAAAUGGACCGCUCAACCCUAAGACCUAUCUUCGCCUCCUGACUGAAGUUCCAAAGUAAAGAAAGGAUUCUUCAAGCAUUCAGACCAACAAGAUCAAAUUAUCUGCAGGGGACGUACUGACCUCAGAACCCAGUGGCAAAAGACAGAAGCAAUGACUAGCAUGUAACCCAAGAAUAUCUUAACAAAAUAAGUUGCCAUUCUAGUAGAUAGGCUUUCCAAAACAUGAAAAGGAGAGGAAACCCAGCACCCAUGAGCCUCUCUCAAAAAACUACUUAACAAUAAUAGGCUGGCAGUUAAGACAAGAAUUAAAAUAAGAAAAAAAGGAACAGAGAAGCCACAUAAAAGGCUCUAGGUGAACACCAAAUCCACUUACAUAUAGGCCAGUACAAACUAUUGGACAGUCACUUAUGAGAAUGUUGAGGUCACAAACAUGUCAGUAUAAAAAUAAUGUAAAAGUUAGAAGGGAUGUUUAGAUGGGAGUCUCGUGAAAACAUUAUCUUCAUCUUUUAUAGAAAAGGUCAAUCAAUGCUAAAAAAAAAAAAAAAAAAGAAAAA